UGAGCAACCUGCCCUUGACCCUGGAAUAACAGCUGGAAACAGCUGCUAAUACCGGAUACGACCUCCGACGGCAUCAUCUGGAGGUGGAAAGCUCCGACGGUCAAGGAUGGGCUCGCGGCCUAUCAGCUUGUUGGUGGGGUGAUGGCCUACCAAGGCGACGACGGGUAGCCGGCCUGAGAGGGCGACCGGCCACAAUGGGACUGAGACACGGCCCAGACUCCGUACGGGAGCAG
RNAcentral lists this ribosomal RNA (233 nucleotides) under uncultured bacterium. RNAcentral's name for it is "partial 16S ribosomal RNA". It matches the Rfam family "Bacterial small subunit ribosomal RNA", at positions 118 to 347 of the family's 1533-position model. The record is from RNAcentral.